CAGACUGAAUUUUCAGGUGAAAUAUCCAGCCUGUCUUCUCCCACUCUCACAGAUAGUGUAUAUCCCAUAUCAAAACAGCUGAAACACUACAGGUACCCACAGUUUAAACAUCAUUAUAUCAUACUUCUAGACCCAACUCUGGUCCCAUUAUCCAAAGCACUUCAAACUAAGGCCAUCCUCCAAAAGGAGCUUGUCUUAUCUAUAGACUGUAUAUAGAAUACAAUCUAUAGAGUUUAUGGUCUCAUCCUAGAGGUCGCCACACAGAUAUAAAGAAGUUCUACCUUUUUUCUCCAUUUUAAAGCUUCAUUCUUUCUCUUCAAUCUGUAAUUCUGAUUUGAGAGUAACCUGUUAAACCUGUUUGAGCUUUAACUUCUGCAUCUGGAAAAGGCUUUCAGUUCUCUGAAAUCAUGAAAUGGGAGGCCAAACACCUUUACACAUCUCUCUGUUUCCCAAUGACCCAGGUAAAAACACAUCAUUUUACUUGGUUCACAAAGGGUGAAAAAUCCAACCCCCUGUCCACUCUGCCUACCCCCACCCACUAUCCCACCACCUCCCUCCUCCUCCUCCUCCUUCUUGUAUAUCCACAUCUUCCUGUCUGCUUUCCCUGACAACCUUGUUAACAAGUCUCCCGCUUUCUGAGCUUCUGCCAGUGAGGAAAUAAUAAACAGAUUAUUUCUUCAAAUCUACUCAACAUCAAACCUCUCUUUACUCAGCGCUGUGCUCGCUGUGGUUCACUUUGGCUCUCAUUAAUUUAAGAAAAUGACAUUCUCUUAGCUCCACAGUAACCGCACUAGUCUGGACCUUUUUAUUUACACUUCACUGAACCUGUUACUGGAUUCCAGGAGGAGUUAUUGGGCUCUAGGAGGAAAAACAGUACAUAGCACUUUGUUGCUGAAUAACUUUAAGACUUUUCUAGUUUACAUGACAAAGUCUCAAGUCUCAGUCAUUAUGAGAGUGAGAAUGGUUUGAUAUGAAAGCAAUGCGACUCUUGGCUGCUUUGAAAACCAUCAUUUAUGUUGGUAAACCAAAAGGGGGAAAGCCUGAAUUACGUUGAAUCUUUUACAACUCAUUUUAUACGAUAUGUUCUUGAUUUCCAACAAAGUUAGAAAUAUUGACUCUGAUAAGAUGUGAGUCCAUUCAUGUCCCCAAACCC
Molecule: non-coding RNA, 1153 nt
Organism: Xyrichtys novacula (pearly razorfish)
Lineage: Eukaryota; Metazoa; Chordata; Actinopteri; Labriformes; Labridae
Source: the annotation of a GenBank genome assembly